Molecule: ribosomal RNA, 419 nt
Filed under: bacterium
Lineage: Bacteria
Description: partial 16S ribosomal RNA
Rfam family: Bacterial small subunit ribosomal RNA
Source: RNAcentral
UGGGGGAUAUUGCACAAUGGGCGAAAGCCUGAUGCAGCGACGCCGCGUGGGGGAUGAAGGCCUUCGGGUUGUAAACUUCUUUUGCUCUGAACAAGGCAUGCUAAUGGGUGUGUUGAGUGUAGGGGUUGAUUAGCGCCGGCUAACUACGUGCCAGCAGCCGCGGUAAUACGUAGGGCGCGAGCGUUGUCCGGAAUUAUUGGGCGUAAAGGGCUUGUAGGUGGCUGGUUGCGUCUGUCGUGAAAGCUCAUGGCUUAACUGUGGGUUUGCGGUGGAUACGGGCUGGCUUGAGUGCAGUAGGGGAGGCUGGAAUUCCUGGUGUAGCGGUGGAAUGCGCAGAUAUCAGGAGGAAUACCGGUGGCGAAGGCGGGUCUCUGGGCUGUUACUGACACUGAGGAGCGAAAGCAUGGGGAGCGAACAGG